CGAAUGGGUCCAAAGACUCUUAAAACCUACCGUGCUCCCCUACGUGGACAAUCAGGAAAGCCCUCCGGGGCAUAGGAAACUCUGAGAAGUUGAAGAACUGCGCCCUCGGCGCAUGACUAAGACAAAAAAUUA
Molecule: unclassified non-coding RNA, 132 nt
Filed under: soil metagenome
Description: partial internal transcribed spacer 1
Source: RNAcentral